This 405-nucleotide ribosomal RNA is filed under the name uncultured bacterium. RNAcentral describes it as "partial 16S ribosomal RNA". It matches the Rfam family "Bacterial small subunit ribosomal RNA", at positions 28 to 526 of the family's 1533-position model. The record is from RNAcentral.
GACGAACGCUGGCGGCGUGCUUAACACAUGCAAGUCGAGCGGAGCGGCGGACGGGUGAGUGACGCGUUAGUAACUGCCCCCCUCUCUGGGAUAACAGUUGGAAACGGGUGCUAAUACCGGAUAGUGGGGGAUGACUCGGGUCCUAUCAGCUUGUUGGUGGGGUAGUGGCCUGCCAAAGCGACGACGGGUAGCCGUCCUGGGAGGGGGACCGGCCACAUUGGGCGGCGGUAGGGCCCAAACGCCUACGGGGGGCAGUAGGGGGGAACAUUGCGCAAUGGUGGAACGUCUGAGGCAGCAGCGCCGCGUGCGUGAUGACCGCCUUCGGGGUGUAAACCGCUUUAAGCCAUGACGCGGUAGUGGCAGAAGAAGCACCGGCUAACUACGUGCCAGCAGCCGCGGUAAUUC